CGGGUGAGUAACGCGUGAGGGACCUGCCUCAAAGAGGGGGACAACAGUUGGAAACGACUGCUAAUACCGCAUGAGCCCACGGCUCGGCAUCGAGCAGAGGGAAAAGGAGUGAUCCGCUUUGAGAUGGCCUCGCGUCCGAUUAGCUAGUUGGUGAGGUAACGGCCCACCAAGGCGACGAUCGGUAGCCGGACUGAGAGGUUGAACGGCCACAUUGGGACUGAGACACGGCCCAG
Molecule: ribosomal RNA, 233 nt
Filed under: uncultured bacterium
Lineage: Bacteria
Description: partial 16S ribosomal RNA
Rfam family: Bacterial small subunit ribosomal RNA
Source: RNAcentral